UCUUCAUUUCCCACACUCUCUUGCUUCUCUAACCAGUGAGAGAGUGUGGGAAAUGAAGAGA
RNAcentral lists this microRNA precursor (61 nucleotides) under Pristionchus pacificus. RNAcentral's name for it is "mir-8364 microRNA precursor family". It matches the Rfam family "mir-8364 microRNA precursor family". Lineage: Eukaryota; Metazoa; Nematoda; Chromadorea; Rhabditida; Neodiplogasteridae. The record is from Rfam by way of RNAcentral.